This is a long non-coding RNA of Perognathus longimembris pacificus (Pacific pocket mouse), 718 nucleotides long. RefSeq lists it as uncharacterized. The transcript has 4 exons. The record is from RefSeq and is a predicted model, not a curated record. NCBI's taxonomy places the organism in Eukaryota, Metazoa, Chordata, Mammalia, Rodentia, Heteromyidae.
GGAUGCUGGGGAAUAAAAAGGAAGCUUCAUGCUUAAGUUUUUCUGGUAGAAAUGAAAUGAGUGGAUAUAUGUAAAUUUCUUACAUGCAUGCCUGAUAGAUAAUUAAGUGCUUAAGAAAGGGUAGUUGUUGUGCUAAGGAUUAAAUCAAGGUGUGUUUGUUAAGUAUAGUGUCUAGUACCAUAUUAGGAACUGGAUCCAUUUUGGUUCCUAUUAAUAUUUCUACAACAGAAGUUAAGGAACACAGAGAAGGAGAAAUUAAUAUUACUGAGAGAGGAGUUAGUAACUUUCUUGUGAAAAAAAAGCUUAUGCAACUUGAUCAAAGUCUUACAGCAAGUGAGCAGCAAAACUAGGGUUCAACCCAGAGGUGUUACUCCUAGCCCAGAGUUUCCCAUGCAGUUAGUGUUCCCAGAGGCAAAUGGAUGUGGGUGGGUGCAGCAAGCCUGAGGUUAGGCCGGCUGGCAGCCAGCCUCUCACCCUGUAAUAAACCUAGUGAGUGUUGAGGAUCUGGGCCUGAUCAAGAAUGACCAGUGGUUUAUCAAGGUUAGGGGGAAGCGCAGACUUGGUUUUACCUAGAGCUAAAGCCAGAUUUCUAAGGGUUUCAUUGUGCUCAACAAGGAUGACUCAGGCUUGUCUAGUUUGAGGCUAGGAGAGAGUGGACUAUGUCAUUCCUUCUCUUUUUUAAACAUUUUUUGUAUUGAUAUUACAAAGGUAAUGGAAA